CUCAAAUCCUUUAUUUAAAGUUAACAUAACAGAUUUACCGAUCUGUAUAACAUAUUCACUGACGUCUGCUGGGUACUAUGACUUGUAGAUCAGCCAGUCUGUGCAGCGCUGCACGCGCUGGAGUCACAGGUGUUGCAAAUCAUCUGUGCGCGAGUCUAAUCCUGCGCCCCUCACAUGUCACAUCAGGCCUGUUUGUUUGUUUGUUUGUAACCUGCGGACGCGUCGCUUUGUGUUUUUGAGGAUGUCACACAAAUGUCAGGAAUUCCAAAUUCAGCCACAUUUGGAUCGUCUGCUGACAUCCGGGAACGAAGACUUUUCAACGUCUUUUCAUCUGACUGGGGCUGACUGAGGUCUCUGAGGCUACAGUCAAUAGGAUAUCGUAAACCGAUGCCCUCGGGUCUCGUCAUUUCAUGGGAUCAUCCACAGACUCACACGCUUCGGUCUUACAGAAACAGAGGGACAGGUGGCUUUGGGCUGUGAGAGUGGACAUUUUAUGGUCAAACACACGCUGUGGCUUUGGGGGAGACAAAAUCAACAAGUCAAUCUCCCACUGCUAAAAGCCCUAUGAGAAGAACAUUCCAGAAACACUACCCAGGAGACAGUGAGGAGUGUGCAGAGUCUCAUUUAUUAGGGUUGAUUUAUGUUGAGGAAAAAAGAUCAGGGAGAAAAAAAAAAGAAAUAA
Long non-coding RNA from Astyanax mexicanus (Mexican tetra), 682 nucleotides. RefSeq lists it as uncharacterized. Lineage: Eukaryota; Metazoa; Chordata; Actinopteri; Characiformes; Acestrorhamphidae. The record is from RefSeq and is a predicted model, not a curated record. The transcript has 4 exons.